Molecule: ribosomal RNA, 467 nt
Filed under: uncultured bacterium
Lineage: Bacteria
Description: partial 16S ribosomal RNA
Rfam family: Bacterial small subunit ribosomal RNA
Source: RNAcentral
GAUGAACGCUGGCGGCGUGCUUAACACAUGCAAGUCGAACGGUGAAGCAGAGCUUGCUCUGUGGAUCAGUGGCGAACGGGUGAGUAACACGUGAGCAACCUGCCCCUGACUCUGGGAUAAGCGCUGGAAACGGCGUCUAAUACUGGAUAUGAGAUGCGACCGCAUGGUCAGCAGUUGGAAAGAUUUUUCGGUCUGGGAUGGGCUCACGGCCUAUCAGCUUGUUGGUGAGGUAAUGGCUCACCAAGGCGUCGACGGGUAGCCGGCCUGAGAGGGUGACCGGCCACACUGGGACUGAGACACGGCCCAGACUCCUACGGGAGGCAGCAGUGGGGAAUAUUGCACAAUGGGCGAAAGCCUGAUGCAGCAACGCCGCGUGAGGGAUGACGGCCUUCGGGUUGUAAACCUCUUUUAGCAGGGAAGAAGCGAAAGUGACGGUACCUGCAGAAAAAGCGCCGGCUAACUACGUG